This is a long non-coding RNA of Prionailurus viverrinus (fishing cat), 655 nucleotides long. RefSeq lists it as uncharacterized. Lineage: Eukaryota; Metazoa; Chordata; Mammalia; Carnivora; Felidae. The transcript is spliced from 4 exons. The record is from RefSeq and is a predicted model, not a curated record.
UUUCUAGGUUUUACAGGGACAACACACAUUGGCAUCAGGAGUGUUGGUUCCAGAAGACCGCUUGAGAAUUAAAUAUGUGCUCUACUGUGUCAGUGUCACCUAGGAGCUCUACUUAAGAGAAAAAGUGGAAGAAGAGGAGUAGAAGUGGAUUACAUUUUUAAAAUUAUCAUCAACACAAAUUGAGUCUCAGGUGCUCUUUUUCUCCUUCUGCUUCCUGACACGUGAUGACUACAUCUGCAAGCGUUGGAGUCGGACAUCCUAAGCCUGAGCCCAGACUUUGCCACUUGCCAGCGUGUUGGAGCUAGAUUAACCUUCUUUAACCCUCAGCUCUCUCAUCGAGCUGGAGAAUGGCCUCAGGUUGGAGGUGGAAAAGACUGGAAUGUGGUUUUAUGCCAGGCUGUGAGCUAUACAAGCCACUUCACCAGGAAACCAUUUCCAAGCCACAUACCACUAGUAAUUAAUGCUGUAGUCGUGACACUUCCGUAAGUGGGUUACAGAUUGUUGCUGUGGUGUGUACAAAGCUUAUUGGAUAAAUGUCUUUAGGAAAGGGGAAGGCAUUAGUCUCUUGGUGAUCAAUAGGAUAAUAAAUUGUGUUUUGUUUCUGUACCUGGAUUUAAUGUUUACCUUUCAAAUAAACGCUAGCUUGCUCAUUGCU